This 468-nucleotide ribosomal RNA is filed under the name uncultured bacterium. RNAcentral describes it as "partial 16S ribosomal RNA". It matches the Rfam family "Bacterial small subunit ribosomal RNA", at positions 28 to 507 of the family's 1533-position model. The record is from RNAcentral.
GACGAACGCUGGCGGCGUGCUUAACACAUGCAAGUCGAACGGAAAGGCCCUGCUUUUGUGGGGUGCUCGAGUGGCGAACGGGUGAGUAACACGUGAGUAACCUGCCCCUGACUUUGGGAUAACUUCAGGAAACUGGGGCUAAUACCGGAUAGGAGCUCCUGCUGCAUGGUGGGGGUUGGAAAGUUUCGGCGGUUGGGGAUGGACUCGCGGCUUAUGAGCUUGUUUGUGGGGUAGUGGCUUACCAAGGCUUUGACGGGUAGCCGGCCUGAGAGGGGGACCGGGCACAAGGGGACUGAGAGAGGGACCAGUCGGGUACGGGAGGCAGCAGUGGGGAGUAUGGCGCAGUGGGCGGGAGCGUGAUGCGACGACGCCGGGUGCGGGAAGACGGGCUUCGGGUUGUGAACCGAUGUCGACUGUGACGUAGCGUGAGUGACGGUAAUGGGUAAAAAAGCACCGGCUAACUACGUG